UAGGGAAUCCUCCACAAUGGGCGCAAGUCUGAUGGAGCAACGCCGCGUGAGUGAAGAAGGUUUUCGGAUCGUAAAGCUCUGUUGUUGGUGAAGAAGGAUAGNGGCAGUAACUGGUCUUUAUUUGACGGUAAUCAACCAGAAAGUCACGGCUAACUACGUGCCAGCAGCCGCGGUAAUACGUAGGUGGCAAGCGUUGUCCGGAUUUAUUGGGCGUAAAGCGAGCGCAGGCGGAAUGAUAAGUCUGAUGUGAAAGC
Molecule: ribosomal RNA, 254 nt
Filed under: uncultured bacterium
Lineage: Bacteria
Description: partial 16S ribosomal RNA
Rfam family: Bacterial small subunit ribosomal RNA
Source: RNAcentral